GACCUCCUGGCGCAAUGGCAGCGCAUCACAUGGACGUUGAAUCUGCCCCCCUGUGAGCGUCCUCAUGGGGCGGGCAACUCACGAUGGGGAGAUCCAGGUUCGAGUUCGAGUCCUGGGGAGGUCA
This 124-nucleotide transfer RNA is filed under the name Didymella pomorum. Its description in RNAcentral is "tRNA-Val". Lineage: Eukaryota; Fungi; Ascomycota; Dothideomycetes; Pleosporales; Didymellaceae. The record is from RNAcentral.